AGGCAGGUAUGCACCGCUACCUGCAAUGUGAUUGCUCUUGUCUUUAUAAACUCUGUGGCUGGGAUCCCUACACAGGACAAACACUUCCAAAAGGAAAAAAGAAGCUUUAUUUUUACUUGGCACAAGUACAUGUGAUCAUUUCAUAAAGGAUUACGGUGACACAGUCAAAUAAAUAAAUAAAACCAAAUCAUGUGACGAAACAUACAAGCACUCA
Molecule: non-coding RNA, 214 nt
Organism: Pelobates cultripes (western spadefoot toad)
Lineage: Eukaryota; Metazoa; Chordata; Amphibia; Anura; Pelobatidae
Source: the annotation of a GenBank genome assembly